AUUGAACGCUGGCGGCAGGCCUAACACAUGCAAGUCGAACGAGUGGCGGACGGGUGAGUAAUGUCUGGGAAACUGCCCGAUGGCGGGGGAUAACUACUGGAAACGGUAGCUAAUACCGCAUACCAUCGGAUGUGCCCAGAUGGGAUUAGCUAGUCGGUGGGGUAACGGCUCACCUAGGCGACGAUCCCUAGCUGGUCUGAGAGGAUGACCAGCCACGCGGGAACUGAUACACGGGCCAGACUCCUACGUGAGGCAGCAGUGGGGAAUAUUGCACAAUGGGCGCAAGCCUGAUGCAGCCAUGCCGCGUGUAUGAAGAAGGCCUUCGGGUUGUAAAGUACUUUCAGCGGGGAGGCGUUACCCGCAGAAGAAGCACCGGCUAACUCCGUGCGAGCAGCCGCGGUAAUAC
This 406-nucleotide ribosomal RNA is filed under the name uncultured bacterium. Its description in RNAcentral is "partial 16S ribosomal RNA". It matches the Rfam family "Bacterial small subunit ribosomal RNA", at positions 30 to 526 of the family's 1533-position model. The record is from RNAcentral.